This 253-nucleotide ribosomal RNA is filed under the name uncultured bacterium. RNAcentral's name for it is "partial 16S ribosomal RNA". It matches the Rfam family "Bacterial small subunit ribosomal RNA", at positions 524 to 776 of the family's 1533-position model. The record is from RNAcentral.
UACGUAGGGGGCGAGCGUUGUCCGGAUUUAUUGGGCGUAAAGCGCACGUAGGCGGCUUUGUAAGUCGGAUGUGAAAUCCCUCGGCUUAACCAAGGAAGUGCAUCCGAAACUACAGAGCUUGAGUACUUAAGAGGAUCGCGGAAUUCCCGGUGUAGAGGUGAAAUUCGUAGAUAUCGGAAGGAACACCAGUGGCGAAAGCGGCUUCCUGGUCCAGCACCGACGUUCAGGCACGAAAGCGUGGGGAGCAAACAGG